AGGUAUUUCCCAGCCAAGACCCCCUGGACAGAGCAGACUUCAAUGCAGUGGAGUACAUUAAUACCCUGUUUCCCACUGAGCAGUCUUUGGCAAACAUCGAUGAGGUCGUGAACAAAAUCAGAUUGAAAAUAAGGAGGCUGGAUGACAACAUCCGAACCGUAGUGAGAGGACAAACCAACGUGGGGCAGGAUGGCAGGCAGG
Molecule: non-coding RNA, 201 nt
Organism: Tinamus guttatus (white-throated tinamou)
Lineage: Eukaryota; Metazoa; Chordata; Aves; Tinamiformes; Tinamidae
Source: RefSeq, a predicted model, not a curated record